AUCAUCGGAAAAUCUCUACAUUUUUUUACUUUUUUAAAAUUAUUAUUCUCUGUGUCAGGAGGGGGGGGGGAGCAAGUGCCCUUCCCUGCCCCACCCUGACUACGCCCAUAAUAAAGUUUAUAUUCGAUUGAUUUGUGUCACUAUUAUUUGCUCGUUGAGAUUCGCAGACACAGCUGUUUCAUCCGCGUGACGUCAUAUUAUCUUUCUAAACGUGAUCACGAUAAAUAUGAGAAGAUAUCGAAUCGUUAUCUACGAUUAAUGAUUAUUGUAUUUUGCUAAUUAGUGCGUGCGCGAUCAUAAUUACUGUAUUUUCGCGAGUGUCAUCAAACAACAGAAUAUAAAAGGCCCGCACAUAGCAACGUCAAACGUGAGAGCCUCUGGUGCAGUCCAUUUGAUUGGAAGCUUUCCACCAUCGAGGGAAAAGUUUUCAUCCCGUGCCAAUCCGAAAUCGGAUACCUUAGCGGAAUUAUCCUCUGCCACAAGAACAUUUCUCGCUGCCAAGUCUCGAUGAACAACAUGUCUGGAUUCCAGAAACGUGUAGUCGUCCUCUCGAGCGUAAAUAAUCCACCAGGGAUCCUUUACUCAUAUAUUCCGUAACCAGGUACAUAUGUUGAUUAUUAAAAACGAGACCGAGUAAUUUAACUAGAUUGUCAUGUAUCAAGGAGGUCAUUAAACUUGCCUCGGCCAGA
Long non-coding RNA from Camponotus floridanus (Florida carpenter ant), 689 nucleotides. RefSeq lists it as uncharacterized. The transcript has 3 exons. Lineage: Eukaryota; Metazoa; Arthropoda; Insecta; Hymenoptera; Formicidae. The record is from RefSeq and is a predicted model, not a curated record.